CCUACGGGGGGCUGCAGUGAGGAAUAUUGGACAAUGGAGGCAACUCUGAUCCAGCCAUGCCGCGUGUAGGAAGACUGCCCUAUGGGUUGUAAACUACUUUUAUAUAGGAAGAAACAGUAUCACGUGUGAUACUUUGACGGUACUAUAAGAAUAAGGAUCGGCUAACUCCGUGCCAGCAGCCGCGGUAAUACGGAGGAUCCAAGCGUUAUCCGGAAUCAUUGGGCUUAAAGGGUCCGUAGGCGGGUUUAUAAGUCAGUGGUGAAAGUUUGCGGCUUAACCGUAAAAUUGCCAUUGAUACUGUAGGCCUUGAAUCAUUGUGAAGUGGUUAGAAUAAGUAGUGUAGCGGUGAAAUGCAUAGAUAUUACUUAGAAUACCGAUUGCGAAGGCAGAUCACUAACAAUGUAUUGACGCUGAGGGACGAAAGCGUGGGUAGCGAACAGGAUUAGAUACCCUAGUAGUC
This 460-nucleotide ribosomal RNA is filed under the name uncultured Flavobacteriaceae bacterium. RNAcentral describes it as "bacterial SSU rRNA". It matches the Rfam family "Bacterial small subunit ribosomal RNA", at positions 338 to 795 of the family's 1533-position model. The record is from RNAcentral. Lineage: Bacteria; Pseudomonadati; Bacteroidota; Flavobacteriia; Flavobacteriales; Flavobacteriaceae.